Molecule: transfer RNA, 67 nt
Filed under: Octactis speculum
Lineage: Eukaryota; Dictyochophyceae; Dictyochales; Dictyochaceae
Source: RNAcentral
ACUUAGUCUAGUGGUCAAGACGCCUACUCUACCAACCGAAGGUGCAGGGUUCGAAUCCCACUCUAAG